GCUGGCGGCAUGUUCUAACACAUGCAAGUCGAACGAACCCUUCGGGGUGAGUGGCGCACGGGUGCGUAACGCGUGGGAACCUGCCCUUAGGUUUGGAAUAACAGUGAGAAAUCGCUGCUAAUACCAAAUAAUGUCUUCGGACCAAAGAUUUAUCGCCUUUGGAUGGGCCCGCGUAGGAUUAGCUAGUUGGUGAGGUAAAGGCUCACCAAGGCGACGAUCCUUAGCUGGUCUUAGAGGAUGAUCAGCCACACUGGGACUGA
Molecule: ribosomal RNA, 260 nt
Filed under: uncultured Alphaproteobacteria bacterium
Lineage: Bacteria; Pseudomonadati; Pseudomonadota; Alphaproteobacteria
Description: partial 16S ribosomal RNA
Rfam family: Bacterial small subunit ribosomal RNA
Source: RNAcentral